RNAcentral lists this long non-coding RNA (3689 nucleotides) under Homo sapiens (human). RNAcentral's name for it is "non-protein coding lnc-MMRN2-2:9". The record is from RNAcentral. Lineage: Eukaryota; Metazoa; Chordata; Mammalia; Primates; Hominidae.
AGACGCCGUAGGUAGCACGCGAUGGAACGCGGCGGAGGGGAGCGUGGACACGGCUGCCGGGCGCUGCGGCCAUCGGCGCCCUGGACGCCCGCUCCGGCCUUCGGGGCCGGAUAUCCCCACUCUCGCGGGCUCUUUCGCGUGGACCCCUCCUCCGGCCGACACUCACACUGCGGUGAACGCCAGUCAGCUGGCGUGAAAUAAGGUCGCUGGGAAGGCACCAAGUCACCAAGGUGGGGGAUGGCCAGGUCGUGGUAGUUGCGACAAAGAAAAAUAUAAGUCACAUUGCAUUUGUUUCUCGCCCACCCACCGCUCCCGGCGUCUCUUCCCGGGCUCCUUGCCAGCGUGCCGAGGCGCAGGCAGGGUGAUGGAGGCUCCCCGGCCGGGAGGAUCUGCCGGGGAGAGCGGCUUCCCUCAUCGAUUCGGGAGCGCCAGGCCCGGCGCGCCCGGGCUCCUGUGACCUGCGAGCCCGCGAAUUCCAGCGGCAUAAGAUAAGGAGCGGCGAGGGCCCAACAGGACUGAGGUCAGCCAGCUAUAAAUACGCCUCCAGCUCCACCGCGGGCUCACGCUGGUGACCUCGUGUACCCUCCGGAGGCUCAUUCCGUCCAUUUGGAAAAUGCAAAUAAUUGUCACCACCUCUUUUCUUCCAUUUCCCCUCAUUCAUGGUGGAAAAUGCUUUUAAAAGUAUUCGAUGACCCGUAUGUGAGGAAAGAGGAGAUAGGCCCCUUUUUCACCAAAUGUGACUUUAACCUCCUUAGUAAUCCAAGAAAUGUAUCAAGUUUAAGUCACUUAACAAAAGAUGUUCUUUUAAAGGUGCAUUUUAAAAAAUCACUUUUAAAACUGGGUAAACUGGGUAAAAAGAAAGGGGGAAGGAAAACAAUGUGCCAGGCAUUUGUAUUGACACACAUUCUUGCCUGAAGAGGUGUUUAGAUUCCAGGGUAUUCCCUUAUAUUCUGGUAUAAAUGUUUGAAUUCCCGUGUAUUUUGUUUCAAUUUUUUGGUUUAUCUUUUAUUCUGUCUCCCUUUUCUUCUUUUACCCGCCUUUGCCCUUAAUGCUGCAGAUAGCCUCUGUCAUUCUGAAUUAUUUUUCAAUUCUGUUUUCUUCCCUAAUCUUUUUUUCUGGGCUCUUCAGCUGUCUCAGGUUUGACAGUCAUGGGUUGUAGUAUCUUGCUAUGCAGGAAGAAGAGGAUACGUGAGAUUACUUGCAUCAACUAAAAUUGGUCACUUUUCUUUCUCAAGUUUCCUUCAUAAUACCCAGUUUUAGUUUUUUUGUUUUUUGGGGUUUUUUUGUUCUUUUUUUUUUGAGACGGAGUCUCGCUCUGUCGCCCAGGCUGAAGUGCAGUGGCGCCAUCUCGGCUCACUGCAAGCUCCGCCUCCUGGGUUCACGCCAUUCUCCUGCCUCAGCCUCCUGAGCAGCUGGGACUACAGGCGCCCGCCACCACGCCCGGCUAACUUUUUGUAUUUUUAGUACAGACGGGGUGUCACCGUGUUAAUAGGUGUUCUCGAUCUCCUGACCUCGUGAUCCUCCCGCCUCGGCCUCCCAAAGUGCUGGGAUUACAAGCGUGAGCCACUGCGCCCAGCCCCAGCUUUAGUUCUAAAGGAAAAGAUGGGCCUUUUGCUUAAGGAGAUUCACAUUGAUUGGUCAAAGCUCUCAUUGACGUAUGCUGAGCAAUGUGUCGGCAGAGAAAACCAUGGCAAGCGUGUUAUUAUGCUCUUUAUAGUCUAGUUGGAUUUUUAGACAUAUGAAUUGGUCUAUAAAAUAGACAACAAUCUCAGGUGGGAACCUUAGUACAUCAAGUUUCUGAAAUGUACAAAUGAGUAUUCCCUGGCUUGUGUUAUCUGCCACUGUAGAAAUGAGAGCAAAAUUGAAGCAUCAAAUUUUAAGUCGUGAUAUGUUUGCUUCUCUGCAAAAGACUCUCCUUUUCAAAUCUUCAGGAAUUUUUCGCUCUCCUUUGAUAAGGCCCAGCUAGUACCCAGGCUUCAAUCCUCAGCGCCCUGGCUACCAGCAGCUAGUGGGGCAUGCUGUUCUCCCUGGCUACUGGCAUGUUUAUGCAUGCCAGCCCGUUUCUCCGGUCUGUCUGCCCAGGGAGACAUCUGGACACGUGUGUUCUGGCCCCCAAACUCAAAAGCAACAUCUCGGGAUCCACAGUUAACAUUCCGUAAUGUGUUGGUAUUCCUUUAAGUGGGUUACUAGAAUAGGCUGGAAAUGGUCUUUUCUUCUGUCCAGGUAGGUCACAAGAGAGGUAGUUGUUACAUGCCCAAAGCAGCAUUCAUUAAUUACAUCGUGCAUUUAGUUAUUUGUUUGUGGUCUGAGCCCCUCUGCUCCACUAGAAUAUAAACUCCAUGAGCAAAAGACUUUGUCAGUCUCUCUUUUUUUAGAGACAGGUUCUCACUUUGUCACCCAGGCUGGAGUGCAGCGGCAUAGUCAUAGUUCACUGUAACCUGGAACUCCUGGGCUCACGUGAUCCUCCCCCCUCAGCCGCCCAAGUAGCUGGGACUACAGGCCAGCUUGACUUUGUCAAUCUAUUCUCAACUCUCUCCUCAGAGCCUAGUGCCUGGCAAGUGAAUAUUUGUUAAAUGAGAGAAGAGAAAUAAGCAUACAUAUCCUCUAGGCAUUUCUAAACCUUGUCACCAAGACCCUUUUAGUGUUAGAGGGUGGCAUGGCUAUCUUGGAAAGAGUGAAGGUUGGCUGGGAAAGCUGUGGAUCACAUCCUCUUCAGUGAAAUGGGACUUCUGCCUUCAGGGAUCCAAGGUGAAUAGAUUAAUCCAAGCUAAUCCAUUCAAAGUCAUUUUCAUGUUGUAAAGAUCUUAUAAGGCAAAAGGCAGCACGAAGUCUCUGGGUCUGAUGAUAAGUUAGAGGCCAGUAAGGAGGCACGAGUGAAGGAAUGCCAUUGGUAGGGUGACCCUUUAGGUUGGCUUCAAACCCAAUAUUAAAUGGGUAGGUGUUAGGGAGAAUAAACAGCUUCAUUUUUCAGCAUGGACACUACUACAUCUUUUUUUUUUUUUUUUUUUUUUUUGGUUAGUAGUACCCCAUCAUGGCUUAGAAGGACUAAACUGAAACAGAAACUGUGGUUAAGAAUAAGAUGGAUGUAUAUAAUUCAGUGCACAAAAUAGAGGAAGUUUAAAAACCUGAAUUCAUUUUCAUUGUGGUGGUACAGUGUUUUACUUCUUUUGUUUACUUCUAAACAACUUGCUCCUUCUCCCUUAGCUCCAUUUUAAUUUAUCUUUGCCUCAAAGCACUGGCUACUAUGAUUGAAAGAUAGAUGAUGGAGGAUAUUGCUGCUCUCACUUGGUCCUACCUAGUCCGUGGCCUCUGUAUUCCUCCUUUCCCUACUAUCCGUACACCCUUUACCAUAGAACCUGAUCUUUCCUAGGCCUUGAGGCAGGAAGAAUUAUCAGAGCUUUGGUCCCAAGCUCAAGACUCAGCCUCCCACUGCCUCGCCCCUUUCUAAGAACUGACAGCCCUUCUCUUGUGUCUGAAACCCUGACCUGUUAGCUUGCCAGGACCUGGAAUUUCUCUGCUUGUUGUUUGGACUUAGCUGCAUCCCUGCACCCAGACUGCUGGGCAGUUGUAGGUAUUGUUGGUGGCAUCACUUAAUUGCCUCCAGCUCUUUGUUUCUAGGCUCCCUGUAUCUGUAUUCUAUCUAUCUGUUGGGCCUCCCUUCCCCCAUUACCUCAGGCUGGAUGUCCCCA